AUUGAACGCUGGCGGCAGGCUUAACACAUGCAAGUCGAGCGGGGUGAUGGCGCUUGCACUAUCACUUAGCGGCGGACGGGUGAGUAAUGCUUAGGAAUCUGCCUAUUAGUGGGGGACAACAUCUCGAAAGGGAUGCUAAUACCGCAUACGUCCUACGGGAGAAAGCAGGGGAUCACUUGUGACCUUGCGCUAAUAGAUGAGCCUAAGUCGGAUUAGCUAGUUGGUGGGGUAAAGGACUACCAAGGCGACGAUCUGUAGCGGGUCUGAGAGGAUGAUCCGCCACACUGGGACUGAGACACGGCCCAGACUCCUACGGGAGGCAGCAGUGGGGAAUAUUGGACAAUGGGGGGAACCCUGAUCCAGCCAUGCCGCGUGUGUGAAGAAGGCCUUAUGGUUGUAAAGCACUUUAAGCGAGGAGGAGGCUCUUUUGGUUAAUACCCAAGGUGAGUGGACGUUACUCGCAGAAUAAGCACCGGCUAACUCUGUGCCAGCCGCCGCCGUAA
Molecule: ribosomal RNA, 503 nt
Filed under: uncultured bacterium
Lineage: Bacteria
Description: partial 16S ribosomal RNA
Rfam family: Bacterial small subunit ribosomal RNA
Source: RNAcentral